CCUACGGGUGGCAGCAGUGGGGAAUAUUGCACAAUGGGGGAAACCCUGAUGCAGCGACGCCGCGUGAGUGAAGAAGUAUUUCGGUAUGUAAAGCUCUAUCAGCAGGGAAGAUAGUGACGGUACCUGACUAAGAAGCACCGGCUAACUACGUGCCAGCAGCCGCGGUAAUACGGAGGGGGCAAGCGUUAUCCGGAUUUACUGGGGGUAACGCGUGCGUAGGUGGCAGGGCAAGUCAGAUGUGAAGGCCCCGGGCUCAACCCCGGUACUGCAUUUGAAACUGUCCAGCUGGAGUGCAGGAGAGGAUAGUGGAAUUCCUAGUGUAGGGGUGAAAUGCGUAGAUAUUAGGAGGAACAUCAGUGGCGAAGGCGGCUUACUGGACUGUAACUGACACUGAGGCACGAAAGCGUGGGGAGCAAACAGGAUUAGAUACCCUUGUAGUC
This 440-nucleotide ribosomal RNA is filed under the name uncultured bacterium. RNAcentral's name for it is "partial 16S ribosomal RNA". It matches the Rfam family "Bacterial small subunit ribosomal RNA", at positions 338 to 795 of the family's 1533-position model. The record is from RNAcentral.